This 574-nucleotide small RNA is filed under the name Histoplasma capsulatum. RNAcentral describes it as "hypothetical RNA". The record is from RNAcentral. Lineage: Eukaryota; Fungi; Ascomycota; Eurotiomycetes; Onygenales; Ajellomycetaceae. RNAcentral also lists the same sequence under 1 other name.
CAGGGGCAAUAUGGUGGGAUGCCUUCGGGCGCGGGGUCGGGGUCGGUAGAUGGGAGUAGUGGUGUGCCGACAGCCACUGCUACUACGGCGGCGGCGGCGGCGGCGCGGAGACAGCUACGCCAUGUGAAUGUAGCAAGGGGUCCGACGAACCUGCCGAGGAAGAGGAAGCGGGCAUCGACUAUCGCCAACGUUGACCCGGCGAUGACGGAUGACGUCCCGCCGGAAGGCCAGUAUGACGAUGACACUGGCAACGUGGACGAGGUUCUAGCCGCGGGCGGAAACCAGAACGGAAGCGCACACGCCCUGAGUAUCCGCGAGCUACCACCACAGCAAGCGUUAUCGGACGCACGCGCGGCAGGGGUCCACUCCGCCGCCGCGCUCUUCCGCCAACCCUCGGCCACCAGCAAGAAAUACACGCGCCCGCCGAUGUCGAAGAUGUUCUCGUCGCUGGGCUUGUCGCCGGAGAACUUCCUGUACUUACAGGCUGCGGCGAAGGCGUAUAUGCUUGACGAGGCGCAUCCGGAGAGACGCGAUUGUGUGGGCCAGAGGGGGAAGGGGGAUACAGAAAUGGUGA